GAGUUUGAUCCUGGCUCAGGGUGAACGCUGGCGGCGUGCCUAAUACAUGCAAGUCGAACGCCCCGCUUUUAGCGGGGAGUGGCGAACGGGUGAGUAACACGUUGGUACCUGCCCCGAAGAAGGAAGCUCGGAGAAAUCCGGAUUAAUACCCCAUAGUCUCGUGAGAGUAAAGCUCCGGCGCUUCGGGAAGGGCCUGCGCAUGAUUAGCUUGUUGGUAAGGUAACGGCUUACCAAGGCGAUGAUCAUUAGCUGGUCUGAGAGGACGAUCAGCCACACUGGAACUGAGACACGGCCCAGACUCCUACGGGAGGCAGCAGUAGGGAAUCUUCCACAAUGGGCGCAAGCCUGAUGGAGCGACGCCGCGUGCAGGACGAAGGCUUUCGGGUCGUAAACUGCUUUUCUGGCCGAAGAAUAUGACGGUAGGCCAGGAAUAAGCCUUGGCUAACUCCGUGCCAGCAGCCGCGGUAAUACGGAAGGCAAGCGUUACCCGGAAUUACUGGGCGUAAAGCGUUGCGUAGGCGGCUCGCCAGGUUUCUACUGAAAUACUAAGGCUCAACCUUGGGAUCGGUAGAAAAACCGGCGCGCUAAGGACAGUAGAGGUGAGUGGAAUUCCUGGUGUAGGAGUGAUAUCCGUAGAUACUAGGAAGAACACCGAUGGCGAAGGUAGCUCACUGGGCUGAUCCUGACGCUGAAGCACGAAAGUGUGGGGUAGGGAACCGGAUUAGAUAACCGGGUAGGCCACGCCGUAAACCAAGGAUG
This 759-nucleotide ribosomal RNA is filed under the name uncultured bacterium. RNAcentral describes it as "bacterial SSU rRNA". It matches the Rfam family "Bacterial small subunit ribosomal RNA", at positions 9 to 815 of the family's 1533-position model. The record is from RNAcentral.